RNAcentral lists this long non-coding RNA (244 nucleotides) under Homo sapiens (human). RNAcentral's name for it is "HSALNT0219664". The record is from RNAcentral. Lineage: Eukaryota; Metazoa; Chordata; Mammalia; Primates; Hominidae.
UGCAGGUAUGGUUCCGCCUUCGUUGCUCCCUCUCACGUUUUCCCUCUCCUUCGACAGCUUUGGGCGUCCUGUAGGCCUUGGAGUACCCCAACUAGUCUCACUUGCCCCAAGGAAACAUCCCAUUAGACACACAUCCCGGGCAGUGUGUGAAUGCGUAUGUGUGAGGGGGGUGGGGAGGAAGCAGGGGUUCCUAGAGAUUAUUGGGGAUUGUCCAUCCAUCCAAAUCAGGCCAGCAUGGGUGAAG